AUACGGAGGAUCCGAGCGUUAUCCGGAUUUAUUGGGUUUAAAGGGAGCGUAGGCGGGAGAUCAAGUCAGCUGUGAAAUGUAGAUGCUCCACAUCUGCACUGCAGUUGAAACUGGGGUUCUUGAGAGUGCAAGAGGCGGAUGGAAUUCAUGGUGUAGCGGUGUAAUGCUUAGAUAUCAUGAAGAACUCCGAUUGCGAAGGCAGUCCGCUGGGGCACGUCUGACGCUGAUGCUCGAAGGUGCGGGAAUCAAACAGGGUUAGAUACCCUGGUAGUCCGCACGGUAAACGAUGAUUACCCGCUGUCGGCGGCAGACAGUCGGCGGCCAAGCGAAAGCGAUAAGUAAUCCACCUGGGGAGCACGCCGGCAACGGUGAAACUCAAAUGAAUUGACGGGG
RNAcentral lists this ribosomal RNA (393 nucleotides) under uncultured bacterium. Its description in RNAcentral is "partial 16S ribosomal RNA". It matches the Rfam family "Bacterial small subunit ribosomal RNA", at positions 523 to 918 of the family's 1533-position model. The record is from RNAcentral.